Molecule: long non-coding RNA, 749 nt
Filed under: Gossypium barbadense (sea-island cotton)
Lineage: Eukaryota; Viridiplantae; Streptophyta; Magnoliopsida; Malvales; Malvaceae
Description: long non-coding RNA (GBAR_LNC021703)
Source: RNAcentral
CUCGAUUUUGCCCGGGACUAAAAGUUUAGAUUACAAACGAGUCUAUGAGGCCCAAUUAGUGGCUCAAUUAGAUACGACCCAAAAUAAAAUUAAAUGAAGGCCCAAAUACAGUGGCCCAAGUGGAUGACAGAAACCCUAGGGUUUCUAACCAUUUGCGCCGCAACCACCUAGCCCGCCGCAGCCGAAUCUUCACCUGCAAACACAAAAAUGGAAAGGGAAUCAAAGAUUGGCGAAUCAUAUUGGAAGGAGAUUUGUUCCUUUAUUUAUUUUAUUAUUAUGGCUAUAAGAAGCCAUUGAACACACUGUAAUAAAAAAAAAUCCAGAUUCGAAAAUCAAUAAAAAUACAAGUAUUUUCACGAACAACCGAAUACCAAGAGUGCACAAAAUCUAUCAAGAAAUCAAAAGGUUGAUAUUUUAGCAUCGUCCUCUUCUAUAUUUUUUUUAUUUUUUUACUUUACUUUGCUAAAAUACAAUAAAACAAAAAGGAAAGAAAUAACCUGGAUUUUAAGCCUUGAUCGCUGUGAACGGCCGAGGAACCGUCUCCGAGGAAAGACGGUCAGAAACCGAAGCGUUUCUCGGGAUUUUGAGCCCAGAUUUGCGUUUAGGGGCUUCGGAGAAGACUGGAUUUGAGAUUCUCCCUUUUCCAGCCGCCGCAUAUGGCGGUGCCAGCGCCGGAGAUCGGCGGCUGAAGCGGUGGCCGAUGACUGGACUCUGGCCGGACGAAUAGGGAGGGGUAGAGCUCCUCAGAG